CCCGCUGAACUUAAGCAUAUCAAUAAGCGGAGGAAAAGAAACCAACAGGGAUUGCCUUAGUAACGGCGAGUGAAGCGGCAAGAGCUCAAAUUUGAAAUCUGGCUUCCUUUUUGGGGCCCGAGUUGUAAUUUGCAGAGGAUGCUUUGGGUGUGGUCGCGGUCUAAGUCCCCUGGAACGGGGCAUCAUAGAGGGUGAGAAUCCCGUCUGGGACCGCCGGCCCCGCGCGUGUAAAGCUCCUUCGACGAGUCGAGUUGUUUGGGAAUGCAGCUCUAAAUGGGUGGUAAAUUUCAUCUAAAGCUAAAUAUUGGCCGGAGACCGAUAGCGCACAAGUAGAGUGAUCGAAAGAUGAAAAGCACUUUGAAAAGAGAGUUAAACAGCAUGUGAAAUUGUUGAAAGGGAAGCGCUUGCGACCAGACUCGUCCGCGGAGGCUCAGCCGCCAUGCUUUGGCGGUGCACUCCUUCGUGGUCGGGCCAGCGUCGGUUCUGACGGUUGGUUAAAGACUCUCGGAAUGUGUCGUCUCUCGGGGCGUCUUAUAGCCGGGGGUGCAAUGCGGCCUGUCGGGACCGAGGAACGCGCUUCGGCACGGACGCUGGCGUAAUGGUCGUAAGCGACCCGUCUUGAAACACGG
This 629-nucleotide ribosomal RNA is filed under the name uncultured fungus. Its description in RNAcentral is "eukaryotic LSU rRNA". It matches the Rfam family "Eukaryotic large subunit ribosomal RNA", at positions 24 to 664 of the family's 3401-position model. Lineage: Eukaryota; Fungi. The record is from RNAcentral.